Molecule: ribosomal RNA, 253 nt
Filed under: uncultured bacterium
Lineage: Bacteria
Description: partial 16S ribosomal RNA
Rfam family: Bacterial small subunit ribosomal RNA
Source: RNAcentral
UACGGGGGGGGCAAGCGUUGUUCGGAAUUACUGGGCGUAAAGGGCUCGUAGGCGGCCAACUAAGUCAGACGUGAAAUCCCUCGGCUUAACCGGGGAACUGCGUCUGAUACUGGAUGGCUUGAGUUUGGGAGAGGGAUGCGGAAUUCCAGGUGUAGCGGUGAAAUGCGCAGAUAUCAGGAGGAACACCGAUGGCGAAGGCAGGUCUCUGGGCAUUAACUGACGCUGAGGAGCGAAAGCAUGGGGAGCGAACAGG